UUAGGAGAGAGUGAGAAGUAAGU
This 23-nucleotide microRNA is filed under the name Gallus gallus (chicken). RNAcentral's name for it is "gga-miR-6698-3p". The record is from miRBase by way of RNAcentral. Lineage: Eukaryota; Metazoa; Chordata; Aves; Galliformes; Phasianidae.